CCGGUCACGUGAUAUGCUAAAAUUAUCUUGUAUCAGUAAUGCUGUGUCAUCACUGCGUCUGAAUGCGCAAAUCUAAUAGACCAAUCAAGUUUGUCAAUCAUUCCUGGCGCAUGCGCCAACUUGAGCCAAUCAGAAAGAUGAGCGCUCUAGUAAUUUGUCAGACUUACUUCCGGGACCAGUAGAUGCCUUCGAGUUAUGCCAUUCUCACUGGCGAUAUCUUUCACCUAUUGCAAGGAUUUGAUGUGUGCAUUUAACUAAACCCAUGCGGUCGGAACAAAAGAUUUGAUCGGAUCAAGGAGUACAGUGUGCGUCUCGUUCUGUCGCCUUAUAUUUUCAGGGCGAUAUAGCGAUGACCCUAAUCAGUCACCAUACUGCAGCAUGUGGGAGUUUUAUUUUGCUGGUAUCAAUGCUUUAGGGGAGAACAAGUUUGAUUUGAUGUGGGAUUAUUACAUUUCAAUGACUGAAGAUGUAAGUGGCGGGACAGAGUCAUGGAUUUCACACACACACCUGGUUUGGCCACAGUGACUAAUGACAAGACGAAUCAUUUGAUAAAUGUAAGGAUACGGUGGAUUCAGUGCUUAACAACUUCAGCGUCUGUGUCUGCGUCUUCGCCUACACCUGUACAGGAGUCACCGCAUCGACUUGGAGACCUACACACACACUUCUGUCGCCGGCAGAUCGUCUGCUGACCAUAACAUCCCUAUGGAUGGGAGCUAGGGAGCCGGCCCAUCCCAGAACGACGAUCUACAGUAUACAUAAGCCGACGGCAAAACCGCUAUCGAGAACCAGUGGCGGAUAGACCACUCGGACCACGGAUGUGACGUCAUCAUUUGCGGAGAUUUGAACGCUCGUGUAGCGUGGGCGUAACAACCCACCACAGACACUCGACCAUCACGGUCUAGACGAAGCUGCGUUCCCAGAGGAAGUAUCUGUGCCAGUAAAUGACAGACAAACAUGCGACAGUUCUGUAAACACCUUUGGACGCAAACUGAUUGACUUACGCUUGUCUCAUAGUUUGUAUAUUUUUAACGGUAGAACCCCCAGUGACAAUACAGGAGAGUUUACUUAUAUAUCGCAACAAGGUUGUAGUGUAGUUGACUACUUUAUUGGUACUGCUGAUUUAUUCUAUAUGCAUCAUGAUGUUAUAUGCCUUGGAUUCUUUGUGUUGAUUCCGUAGCAGCUCCUUUCCAUUAACUCGCAGGUGAUAUAUCUCUGAAGCCCAUAUCACAAAACGACGGCAGCUUUACUUACAAGUGGAAUGACAAUAUGGCUUCGGAUAUUUUCAUUUCCCUUAGUAAUUCAUGUCCUUCAUUAAGAUAUGAUUGAUGGAGUUGCCGAUAACCUCAAUAAGGGUUUAGAUAUGUUCGUGAACGCUGUUCUUUCCGCAUCUGAUUGUAUGAAGAAAUCCUUUAAAAGUGGGUCAGUUGGUAUUAAUAGAGGAUUUUAUAAUCUGAAAUGUAAAAAGGCUAAGCAAGAAGCGCCACAGCAUUUGAGACGUUUUAGACGUCAUAAAUCAUGCGAAAGUAAACGUGCCUACU
This is a long non-coding RNA of Haliotis rubra (blacklip abalone), 1538 nucleotides long. RefSeq lists it as uncharacterized. The transcript is spliced from 3 exons. The record is from RefSeq and is a predicted model, not a curated record. Lineage: Eukaryota; Metazoa; Mollusca; Gastropoda; Lepetellida; Haliotidae.